Molecule: long non-coding RNA, 2676 nt
Organism: Ictidomys tridecemlineatus (thirteen-lined ground squirrel)
Lineage: Eukaryota; Metazoa; Chordata; Mammalia; Rodentia; Sciuridae
Source: RefSeq, a predicted model, not a curated record
GGUCCAUCUGCCAGUCAUGCUCAGAUAUUUAUGGCAUGUAUUUUCUUCAUGUGUGUCCCCUUUCCAUUGUCCAGCUCAGAGGGACGAGAGAAGAAGGAAGUAAAAGUGUGGGGUAUUGCUUGAUGGUGGUUCACUGUCGGUAUAUUUUAGCAUGGGGCAGGACACAGAGUUUUUGCAAAACAGAAGAAAAAAGAAAAGGAAAGAAAGAGGGAAAAGAGGGAAGAAAAAGUGAAAAGGGUGGAAGCAUAUUUUUGGAUUGUGUUGAAAAAGUUGGAUCAUUUUUGGAACUCUGAAAGGAGAUACCAUUCAACUCUUAUGUGUUCAUAUACACAGGAGCUAAUCAAGGCACAGUUAUCUGCUGACAGGGAUGAAUGUGGCUAGAGAAGAAAAACUGCCAAGCUUACUGGCCUCACUUCAAAUUAAUCUCAAGUGGACACUUAACACUGGCCAGCAACCAUACUGUAUUUCUCCUAUUCAGGCAUCCUCCCACUUUUUAAGAUGCCGUGAGCUAAGAAGCUUUCUUUGGCCAUACCCUUCUGCCAUAAUGUUCUGCCUCAACUCAAGCCCAGAGAAAAGGAGUUGGCUAACAACAGACUAAACCUCGGAAACUCCUACAUUUAUGUGACCUAUCAGAAGCAUUUACAAAGUGUGGAUGCUCCCAAGGGAUAGAUGGUGCUUCCUGUGAGCAGGCUGCACACUCACAUUGAAACACACUUCAGCAGAAGAAGCAAGAGCUAAGAAUGCCUGAAGGCGGACUCUUUUGCUGUUCUAGACAAUCAGCUGCUUCACCUACGGCUGACAGCAUUAAUGACAUGUGAUUUAAAUAUAAAAACAAAAUUACCAAGUUAUGGCAUCCUAUAAUGAAGGCUUAUGACUCUUGAACUUUUGUUGACAGUUUAUUUUUGUAAGCUUUGCCUAAGAGUUUAUUGAAAAUAAUAAUUUUUUAACAGUAAUUUUUUUUAAAAAAAGGCAGAAUCAUGUGACCAAGUACUGUUCCAGAGUUCAAGAGUUUUACCACUUAUCAGACCUGUGACCUGCACAUGUUAUUUCGCUCCCCCUAUGUUCAGUUUCUUCAACUGUAAAAUGGGAGUGAUACUGCGUACUUUAUAGGGGAGUUGAUUAAAUUAGUAAAUUUAAUUAAAUUAGUAAAUUACUUCUUAGAAACUAUAAAAUCAGUGCAAAAACCAUGAUAUACAUAAAUGAAAUUGAGAUUUGUUUUGUUAUAGGAGUGGUAUCAGACAGUGCUGAUUUCAGAGGCCUCAGAAGGUGGAACUCAGCCCCUAUAUUCCCAUGUGAGCUAGAACUCCAGAACGUGACCUGUUAUCUCCAUUGGUCCCUCAUCAUACUGUGACAACAGUGCACAGCCUGCUAUCUCUCCUAACUCUCUGUCCCCAAAGAUAAGCCAUGAAGCCAUUGGAAAGAGGUCAUCCAUCAUGACAUUGCUUGGUAUAGUUAUUCUUUAGAAACUUAACUCGCAGUCUGGGUGGGGUGUGUUGGACCAGGACUGGCAGGAAACACAGCUGGACAGGCGCUGUCUUUCUGGCGCUGUCUUGUCUCUGCAUGUUAUUGUUUCAGGACAUACAUUAUUUUUGUUCUUUCCCAGGAAACUUUAACCUUUCAAAAAGGCAAUGGUGAAGAUGCUCAUUGACAAUGACCUCAAAGACCAUCUCUCAAUGGAAUCACUGGCAAUUGAUUUUUUUUCCUCAUCACCUUGUCCCUUUAUUAUCUCCUGGUGAUAAACCCUAUGUGGCUAUUUUUCAUUGUGUGGAUAACCUAGCAACCAAGCUUUGUGAGCCCGUGUUUAUAUUGUUUCCAACAAGCCUGGUUUUCAGCUGGAUCUGCUCCCACUACAACUCUGAGAUAAUAAGUCAAAAUGAAAAGGACCCCAUUGUGGUUGUAAGAACAUGUAACAGAAAUAGGUUUCAUAAACAAGAGCAAAAUAUAGGUAUUGUAUACGUGCAGGAACAAUGAGAACAAAGCUCUCUUGAUGAUGUUUACACAUGUGAACCUCUAAAGAGUGAGAAGAAUCAUGAACAUUUGGAGUUCAAAGAGCCUAUUGUGCUCAAUAGUGGUAUUCCCAUCUGAGUGCAAGAGAUCACCAAGGUGACUCUGUGUCCACUAGCUGAUUACCUGCCAAGGCCUAGAAACUGCAGGCCAAACUCAGGUGGCCCCUGAAACUUUCUCCUUUACUACUGAGCCCAAACAGGUAGAGGCAUAACAGAAUGUUUAAAACAGUCACCGAAUGGCCCCUCUCUUAAAACGAGAGAUGAAUGUGCAGUCUUUUCGGCAGAAGAUUCAUGGUUAUUAAUAUUAUCAAACAUAUGAGUUCAUAUUGAGCCUGAACAAUUAGAUUUCUCUUAUCAAAAGUUCAGGUACAGGGAGAAAGAAGGAAGCUUCUGAAUUAGAGAUUUGCUUAUUGGAACUCAGGGUAUGAAAAGGGGAUAUUUUAAGAGGGCUUUGGAGUCAGGAUGACAAGAACUAUUACCUUCAUUCCCAGACAACCCUGGGUUCAAAUCCUACCUCUGAUACUUAAUGUGUAAAGAGUUUCUACCCUCUUUCAGUCUUAGAAUCCUCUUGUAUAAAAUGAGGAAGUUUAUAAAGUUCUUGUUAUGUUUUUUAAAAAAAUAAUGUAUGUAAGUUUGUACAUGAUAGGUUUGAAUAAAUGGUAUUUAUUAA